GGGUCAGUAGGUUGGUCGUGCCACCGGUACGUACUGGUCUCACUGAUUCCUCCUUCCUGAAGAACCGUAAUGACAUUAAUUUGGUGUUGCGGGGAAACAGGACUGUUACUUUGAAAAAAUUAGAGUGUUUAAAGCAAGCUAACGCUUGAAUACAUUAGCAUGGAAUAAUGAAAUAGGACGAUCGAUCCUAUUUUGUUGGUUUCUAGGAUUGACGUA
Molecule: ribosomal RNA, 216 nt
Filed under: Glomeromycotina sp.
Lineage: Eukaryota; Fungi; Glomeromycota
Description: partial small subunit ribosomal RNA
Rfam family: Eukaryotic small subunit ribosomal RNA (bases 40-216)
Source: RNAcentral